RNAcentral lists this ribosomal RNA (372 nucleotides) under uncultured bacterium. RNAcentral describes it as "bacterial SSU rRNA". It matches the Rfam family "Bacterial small subunit ribosomal RNA", at positions 523 to 898 of the family's 1533-position model. The record is from RNAcentral.
AUACGUAGGACCCAAGCGUUGUCCGGAAUUACUGGGUGUAAAGGGUGCGCAGGCGGGCUUGUGCGUCAGAGGUUAAAUCCCACCGCUUAACGGUGGAACUGCCUUUGAUACGGCAAGUCUUGAAUGCGAGCGAGGUAGGUAGAAUUCCUGGUGUAGCGGUGAAAUGCGUAGAUAUCAGGAGGAAUACCAGUGGCGAAGGCGGCCUACUGGCUCGUUAUUGACGCUCAGGCACGAAAGCGUGGGGAGCAAACAGGAUUAGAUACCCUGGUAGUCCACGCCUUAAACGAUGUAUGCUUGGUGUUGGAGAAUUUCUUCAGUGCCGAAGGUAACCCGUUAAGCAUACCACCUGGGGAGUACGAUCGCAAGGUUGAA